Molecule: ribosomal RNA, 147 nt
Filed under: uncultured bacterium
Lineage: Bacteria
Description: partial 16S ribosomal RNA
Rfam family: Bacterial small subunit ribosomal RNA
Source: RNAcentral
UCCUACGGGAGGCAGCAGUAGGGUAUCUUCCACAAUGGAAUAAAGCCUAAUGUAGCACCGCCGAGUAAGUUAAAAAGGUUUUCGGAUCGUAAAGCUCUGUUGUUGGUAGAGAAGAAUAGAGUUAGUAGCUGGCCUUUGUUUGACGGU